GUGGGUAAUCUGCCUGGGAGCGGGGGAUAACCUGGGGAAACUCGGGCUAAUACCGCAUACGUCGACGGAGCUGCGGCUCCGCCAAGAAAGCUGGCCUCUGCUUGCAAGCUAGCACUCCCAGAGGAGCCCGCGGCUGAUUAGCUAGUUGGUGAGGUAACGGCCCACCAAGGCGACGAUCAGUAGCCGGCCUGAGAGGGUGAUCGGCCACACUGGGACUGAGACACGGCCCAGACUCCUACGGGAGGCAGCAGUGGGGAAUAUUGGACAAUGGGCGCAAGCCUGAUCCAGCAACGCCGCGUGGAGGACGAAGGUCUUCGGAUCGUAAACUCCUGUCAGGCGGGACGAACGGGCGUCGGUAAACAAUCGGCGUCUCUGACGGUACCGCCAGAGGAAGCCCCGGCUAACUCCGUGCCAGCAGCCGCGGUAAUACGGAGGGGGCAAGCGUUAUUCGGAAUUAUUGGGCGUAAAGGGCGCGUAGGCGGCGUGGUAAGUCAAAGGUGAAAUCCCUCGGCUCGACUGAGGAACUGCCUUUGAAACUACCGCGCUUGAGGCCGGGAGGGGGUAGCGGAAUUCCCAGUGUAGCGGUGAAAUGCGUAGAUAUUGGGAGGAACACCAGUGGCGAAGGCGGCUACCUGGACCGGUUC
This 644-nucleotide ribosomal RNA is filed under the name uncultured bacterium. Its description in RNAcentral is "bacterial SSU rRNA". It matches the Rfam family "Bacterial small subunit ribosomal RNA", at positions 117 to 740 of the family's 1533-position model. The record is from RNAcentral.